GCGGGCGUCGUAUAACGGCUAUUACCCGAGGUUUCCAACCUCGUGACGCGGGUUCGACUCCCGCCGCCCGCU
This 72-nucleotide transfer RNA is filed under the name Thermoleophilia bacterium. Its description in RNAcentral is "tRNA-Gly". It matches the Rfam family "tRNA". Rfam says of the family: Transfer RNA (tRNA) molecules are approximately 80 nucleotides in length. The record is from RNAcentral. Lineage: Bacteria; Bacillati; Actinomycetota; Thermoleophilia.